This 75-nucleotide transfer RNA is filed under the name Corynebacterium glutamicum. Its description in RNAcentral is "tRNA-Val (GAC) (tRNA-Val-GAC-1-1, tRNA-Val-GAC-1-2)". It matches the Rfam family "tRNA". From Rfam's summary of the family: Transfer RNA (tRNA) molecules are approximately 80 nucleotides in length. Their secondary structure includes four short double-helical elements and three loops (D, anti-codon, and T loops). Lineage: Bacteria; Bacillati; Actinomycetota; Actinomycetes; Mycobacteriales; Corynebacteriaceae. The record is from RNAcentral. RNAcentral also lists the same sequence under 154 other names.
GCGCGUUUAGCUCAGCGGGAGAGCGCUUCCCUGACACGGAAGAGGUCACUGGUUCAAUCCCAGUAUCGCGCACCA